GGUUGAUCCUGCCAGUAGUCAUAUGCUUGUCUCAAAGAUUAAGCCAUGCAUGUCCAAGUAUAAGCUGUGUUAUACUGUGAAACUGCGAAUGGCUCAUUAAAUCAGUUAUUGUUUAUUUGAUGGUACCUACUACUCGGAUACCCGUAGUAAUUCUAGAGCUAAUACGUGCGCACAUCCCGACUCCUGGAAGGGACGUAUAUAUUAGAUUGCAAGACCGACCCCGGUCUGACCGGGCCUCGCGGUGACUCAUGAUAUCUCUACGAAUCGCAUGGCCCCGUGCCGGCGAUGUUUC
This 292-nucleotide ribosomal RNA is filed under the name uncultured eukaryote. RNAcentral describes it as "partial 18S ribosomal RNA". It matches the Rfam family "Eukaryotic small subunit ribosomal RNA", at positions 6 to 296 of the family's 1831-position model. The record is from RNAcentral.